CAUGGCCUUAUUGAUAAUAAUUUAAGGUCGGGUCUGCUCAAUGAAUUUUAAAUAGCCGCAGUAUUUUGACUGUGCGAAGGUAGCAUAAUAAUUAGUUUCUUAAUUAGGAACUGGAAUGAAUGAUUGGACAAGAAAAUUACUGUCUCUUUUUUAAUUGUUGAAUUUUAUUUUUAAGUGAAAAAGCUUAAAUGUUUGUAAAAGACGAGAAGACCCUAUAGAGUUUAACAUUUUUUUUUAAUUUGUUAUUAGUAUAAUUUUUUAAAUAUAAUUGUUUGGUUGGGGUGAUUGAAGGAUAUAAUUAAUUCUUUUAGAUUUUAAUUAAAAAUUUUUAAAUUUUUAAUCUAUAAUUUGUAAAAUUAAAAUAAAUUACCUUAGGGAUAACAGCGUAAUUUUUCUUUAAAGUUCUUAUUGUAAGGAAAGUUUGCGACCUCGAUGUUGGAUUAAAAUAAAUUUUUGGUGCAGUAACUGAAAAAUUAGGUCUGUUCGACCUUUAAAAUUUUACAUGAUCUGAGUUUAGACCGGUGUGAACCAGGUUGGAUUCUAUCUUUAUAUAUUUUUUUAUAUUUUAGUACGAAAGGACCAAAUAUAAGUUAAAUUAAUUGU
Molecule: ribosomal RNA, 603 nt
Filed under: Cautires pahangensis
Lineage: Eukaryota; Metazoa; Arthropoda; Insecta; Coleoptera; Lycidae
Description: partial 16S ribosomal RNA
Rfam family: Bacterial large subunit ribosomal RNA
Source: RNAcentral